GACUUUUGAACGGCGAAUAGUUCCCGACUUCUCAAGAGUAGCGAUGUUUUCAGCAUGCAAAUGCAUCUUUUCGAUUAGAGCAAGAUGAGAAGGAUCUGAGAUUGAUUUCUUGAGAGAAUGGAGAUCACUCAGCAAUUCUUUGAGCUCCACCUCCAUGAUUCUUACCGAUUUGACGACUUCUCUGGAACGUCAAUUUGGGUAUUAUUAGUGUAAUCUU
RNAcentral lists this unclassified non-coding RNA (217 nucleotides) under Hevea brasiliensis (rubber tree). The record is from RNAcentral. Lineage: Eukaryota; Viridiplantae; Streptophyta; Magnoliopsida; Malpighiales; Euphorbiaceae.